GAUCAUGGCUCAAAUUGAACGCUGGCGGCAGGCCCAACAUAUGCAAGUCAAACGGCAGCGGGGGAUAGCUUGCUAUCCUGCCGGCGAGUGGCGGACGGGUGAGUAAUGCAUGGGGAGCUGCCCAAUCGAGGGGGAUAACAACUGGAAACGGUUGCUAAUACCGCAUACCCCCUGCGGGGGAAAGGUGGGGACCUUCGGGCCUACCGCGAUUGGAUGCACCCAUGUGGGAUUAGCUAGUUGGUGAGGUAACGGCUCACCAAGGCGACAAUCUCUAGCUGGUCUGAAAGGAUGACCAGCCACACUGGAACUGAAACACGGUCCAAACUCCUACGGGAGGCAGCAGUGGGGAAUAUUGCACAAUGGGGGAAACCCUGAUGCACCCAUGCCGCGUGUGUGAAAAAGGCCUUCGGGUUGUAAAGCACUUUCAGUGGGGAGGAAGGGAUGAUGUCUAAU
Molecule: ribosomal RNA, 453 nt
Filed under: uncultured bacterium
Lineage: Bacteria
Description: bacterial SSU rRNA
Rfam family: Bacterial small subunit ribosomal RNA
Source: RNAcentral